This 825-nucleotide ribosomal RNA is filed under the name Staphylococcus aureus. RNAcentral describes it as "bacterial SSU rRNA". It matches the Rfam family "Bacterial small subunit ribosomal RNA", at positions 92 to 903 of the family's 1533-position model. The record is from RNAcentral. Lineage: Bacteria; Bacillati; Bacillota; Bacilli; Caryophanales; Staphylococcaceae.
UUAGCGGCGGACGGGUGAGUAACACGUGGAUAACCUACCUAUAAGACUGGGAUAACUUCGGGAAACCGGAGCUAAUACCGGAUAAUAUUUUGAACCGCAUGGUUCAAAAGUGAAAGACGGUCUUGCUGUCACUUAUAGAUGGAUCCGCGCUGCAUUAGCUAGUUGGUAAGGUAACGGCUUACCAAGGCAACGAUGCAUAGCCGACCUGAGAGGGUGAUCGGCCACACUGGAACUGAGACACGGUCCAGACUCCUACGGGAGGCAGCAGUAGGGAAUCUUCCGCAAUGGGCGAAAGCCUGACGGAGCAACGCCGCGUGAGUGAUGAAGGUCUUCGGAUCGUAAAACUCUGUUAUUAGGGAAGAACAUAUGUGUAAGUAACUGUGCACAUCUUGACGGUACCUAAUCAGAAAGCCACGGCUAACUACGUGCCAGCAGCCGCGGUAAUACGUAGGUGGCAAGCGUUAUCCGGAAUUAUUGGGCGUAAAGCGCGCGUAGGCGGUUUUUUAAGUCUGAUGUGAAAGCCCACGGCUCAACCGUGGAGGGUCAUUGGAAACUGGAAAACUUGAGUGCAGAAGAGGAAAGUGGAAUUCCAUGUGUAGCGGUGAAAUGCGCAGAGAUAUGGAGGAACACCAGUGGCGAAGGCGACUUUCUGGUCUGUAACUGACGCUGAUGUGCGAAAGCGUGGGGAUCAAACAGGAUUAGAUACCCUGGUAGUCCACGCCGUAAACGAUGAGUGCUAAGUGUUAGGGGGUUUCCGCCCCUUAGUGCUGCAGCUAACGCAUUAAGCACUCCGCCUGGGGAGUACGACCGCAAGGUUGAAACUCA